GGAAAUCACCCUGUGAUUCAAAAAACGACCUUCUGGCGCUAUAUAAAUGAAGUCGGGGUUCCGUUCUUCCCCUUCAUAUCCUCCUGACCACGCCACCAAGCGCAGGAAAUCGAGAAAAGCAGUGCCACGGAGGGGAGAUCCAUGUCGCUGUCGUGGCCGGCGGUAUGAACCACCGUUCGGGGUCCUGUGAGGGGUCUGGGUGACCCAUCCUAUCCUGGCGGAGAUUACUGUGGCAUCUACGGGAGGAUUGGGCUCCGUGAUCCGACUGAAUUGCUCGCCGGAAUAGCAUACCCGCCAUGGUUCGACCUGCGCGCGUGGGCAGCAUCCUUCGCACCCUUGACGUUGGUGAGAAUCCCCAUCAUAGUACUUGCCUCGCUCUUUGGAUCACAGGAGACCUUUUGAUUUGAAGUUUAGGGUCCUGGGGUGCUGGACCAUGUGUCACCGGUGGGGUCUCCGCCGUGGGAUCCUAGCGGCGCGGCCGUGUUCGUUCGUCUGGGGUAGAAGACAACUCUAGAGCCGUUGAUCUCUCGUUUUGCGGUCGAGAUUAGAUCAAACAUAUCCUUUCGCUUCUUUAACUCGGGACCGUCCGAUCGGGAUUUGGCGCUUGUGAGCGGGCCUGGCAAUUUAAAAUCCGGGGCGUUCACCCUUGAUCCUGCGGUCUCUGUGCGUAGUGGUUCAUGGAAUGGCGGAUUUAAUCAGGGUCGUCUGUUUUAGAUCCUACGUCCCAGAAUAGCCAAUAUCCCUUCGCAGAACUCCUUUUACAUAAGAGCCCUCGGGUUUUAGUAAAAUCAACCCGCCGUCCAUAUGGGGUUAGCCUGUGUCUGGGAACUUUUGCAGAGUAGCCCUGGCCUUUUGUUUAUUCAUGCGCCCAGUCCAGAAGCUUAGAAAAUUCAGGAAAAUAAUUUAUGAAAUAGUUUUUAUGUAUAAAAAUAUAUCCAGAACUUAUUUAAUUCAUAUAAAUUCCAUUUUUACUUCUUUUUAACCUAUUCCAGUUGCAAUAAUCUUGUAUUAAUAUUGUCUAUCAACUAGUCACAUUGUUUAGCCAUGAAACUAGAAUUAAAAUUGUUCAUUAGGAUUAAUCUAUUCUAAGCACUAAAUAAUUUCGAAAAUUCAUAACUUAAUAAUCGUAGCUCCGAAUUUAGUGAUUCUUGUUCCCACGAUCUCGUAGCAACGCGUAGAUUAUUAUUAUAUAGUUUGUUCUUAUGUUUGGUGUACUGUUAAUUUUUCCUACACCAUGUUUGUUUGUAUUGCUACGACUAGCGGUGAGGACACGUGUCAUCUGAAGAGCAAGUUGGUACUUGGAAUCUCAAGUCCCAGGCAAGUUGUGCUCUUAAUCACUUCUUUUUACCCAGUCAUGUCCUAAUUAAUCAUAAUGAUCUGCAUAGGUUAAUUUUGAUGGGACCCAAUAGGUUACCCUAGUUUGACUAUCUUUAUAUCUUGUUCACCACUGGAUUUUCGGGUAGUACCUGCUAUUGCUUUAUGUGGUUUUGGGUAUAGAGAUACAUUUUAUUCAUGAUUAUCUUUUAUUAUCAGUUAUUAUUUACUGUUCAUGAUAAGAUCAUUAUGUUAAUUGGAACAUGAAGAACCACCCGGGAAAACAGUGCUACCACAAGGGUUUAUGGACGCCCUUGGCUAACUAAUUAGGAAAGCUAGUGGAAGACUACCUUACCCGAAAGGGGCAAGGGCAGUAGGGGAGUGGUCAGUGUAGGGAGGUCCUUGGUUGAUUUUGCUGCGAUGGCGGUCAGGCGAGGAAUUCCUGCACUGGAGCUUCCUAUAAACUGUAGCGGGUUUUCUGAAGCUAGUGGAACUUUGUAAAGGCCUCGUAGUGUUACCCUGCCUCGCCUCCUUGGUAGAGGUGUAUGGGAUUGGCCGUCUCUUGGCAGAUGGGUAACAUGACUUGUGGGUAAAAAUGUGAAACCUCUGCAGAGUGUAAAACUGGUAUACUAGCCGUGCUCACGGUCAUGAGCAGCUCGAUUAAAGAUACGCAACCUCUGCAGAGUGUAAAACUGGUAUACUAGCCGUGCUCACGGUCAUGAGCAGCUCAGACACUCACAUGAUUAAAUUAUGGAACUUAAACUCAAUUUGUCAUAUGCAUUGCAUCGCAGGUGAGGUUGUUACUUUUGUUCUAUUACUUAAUUGGGUUGGUAUUUACUUAUACUUAGUAAUUGCUAAUAAAAUUUUGACCAACUUUAAAAGCAAUGCUCAGCUCUAACCAUCCUCUUUGGUAAGCCUUACACUUCACGUGAGCUCCCACCUUUGGCGAGUUCAUGCACAUUAUUCCCCACAAUUUGUUGAGCGAUGAACGUAUGUGAGCUCACUCUUGCUGUCUCACACCCCCCACAGGUCAAGAACAGGUACCGCAGGAUGAGGCGCAUGGAGGUUGCUGCGAUAUGUUUGUAAGAGAUCUAGGCCGUCGUCUCCCAGUCAACUUUGGGUUGCUGGACCGUUGUCUCCUUAUAAUGUAAUUAUUUAUUUAUUU
Molecule: long non-coding RNA, 2479 nt
Filed under: Zea mays
Lineage: Eukaryota; Viridiplantae; Streptophyta; Magnoliopsida; Poales; Poaceae
Description: long non-coding RNA (ZMAY_LNC004105)
Source: RNAcentral